GUAGGUGGCAAGCGUUGUCCGGAAUUAUUGGGCGUAAAGCGCGCGCAGGCGGUUCGUUUAAGUCUGAUGUGAAAGCCCACGGGCUCAACCGUGGAGGGUCAUUGGAAACUGGAGAACUUGAGUACAGAAGAGGAAAGCGGAAUUCCACGUGUAGCGGUGAAAUGCGUAGAGAUGUGGAGGAACACCAGUGGCGAAGGCGGCUUUCUGGUCUGUAACUGACGCUGAGGCGCGAAAGCGUGGGGAGCAAACAGGAUUAGAUACCCUGGUAGUCCACGCCGUAAACGAUGAGUGCUAAGUGUUAGGGGGUUUCCGCCCCUUAGUGCUGCAGCUAACGCAUUAAGCGCUCCGCCUGGGGAGUACGGCCGCAAAGGCUG
This 374-nucleotide ribosomal RNA is filed under the name uncultured organism. RNAcentral's name for it is "partial 16S ribosomal RNA". It matches the Rfam family "Bacterial small subunit ribosomal RNA", at positions 527 to 896 of the family's 1533-position model. The record is from RNAcentral.